This 468-nucleotide ribosomal RNA is filed under the name uncultured bacterium. RNAcentral describes it as "partial 16S ribosomal RNA". It matches the Rfam family "Bacterial small subunit ribosomal RNA", at positions 28 to 507 of the family's 1533-position model. The record is from RNAcentral.
GACGAACGCUGGCGGCGUGCUUAACACGUGCAAGUCGAACGGAAAGGCCCUGCUUUUGUGGGGUGCUCGAGUGGCGAACGGGUGAGUAACACGUGAGUAACCUGCCCUUGACUUUGGGAUAACUUCAGGAAACUGGGGCUAAUACCGGAUAGGAGCUCCUGCUGCAUGGUGGGGGUUGGAAAGUUUCGGCGGUUGGGGAUGGACUCGCGGCUUAUCAGCUUGUUGGUGGGGUAGUGGCUUACCAAGGCUUUGACGGGUAGCCGGCCUGAGAGGGUGACCGGCCACAUUGGGACUAAGAUACGGCCCAGACUCCUACGGGAGGCAGCAGUGGGGAAUAUUGCACAAUGGGCGGAAGCCUGAUGCAGCAACGCCGCGUGCGGGAUGACGGCCUUCGGGUUGCAAACCGCUUUCGCCUGUGACGAAGCGUGAGUGACGGUAAUGGGUAAAGAAGCACCGGCUAACUACGUG